This 668-nucleotide ribosomal RNA is filed under the name uncultured Lachnospiraceae bacterium. Its description in RNAcentral is "bacterial SSU rRNA". It matches the Rfam family "Bacterial small subunit ribosomal RNA", at positions 59 to 728 of the family's 1533-position model. The record is from RNAcentral. Lineage: Bacteria; Bacillati; Bacillota; Clostridia; Lachnospirales; Lachnospiraceae.
AAGUCGAACGGGAAACCUUUUAUUGAAGCUUCGGCAGAUUUAACUGGUUCCUAGUGGCGGACGGGUGAGUAACGCGUGGGUAACCUGCCUUAUACAGGGGGAUAACAGUCAGAAAUGACUGCUAAUACCGCAUAAGCGCACAGGGCCGCAUGGCCCGGUGUGAAAAACUCCGGUGGUAUAAGAUGGACCCGCGUUGGAUUAGCUUGUUGGUGGGGUAACGGCCCACCAAGGCGACGAUCCAUAGCCGGCCUGAGAGGGUGAACGGCCACAUUGGGACUGAGACACGGCCCAGACUCCUACGGGAGGCAGCAGUGGGGAAUAUUGCACAAUGGGGGAAACCCUGAUGCAGCGACGCCGCGUGAAGGAAGAAGUAUCUCGGUAUGUAAACUUCUAUCAGCAGGGAAGAUAGUGACGGUACCUGACUAAGAAGCCCCGGCUAACUACGUGCCAGCAGCCGCGGUAAUACGUAGGGGGCAAGCGUUAUCCGGAUUUACUGGGUGUAAAGGGAGCGUAGACGGUGUGGCAAGUCUGAUGUGAAAGGCAUGGGCUCAACCUGUGGACUGCAUUGGAAACUGUCAUACUUGAGUGCCGGAGGGGUAAGCGGAAUUCCUAGUGUAGCGGUGAAAUGCGUAGAUAUUAGGAGGAACACCAGUGGCGAAGGCGGCUUA